RNAcentral lists this long non-coding RNA (848 nucleotides) under Homo sapiens (human). RNAcentral's name for it is "non-protein coding lnc-UGT8-1:1". The record is from RNAcentral. Lineage: Eukaryota; Metazoa; Chordata; Mammalia; Primates; Hominidae.
CAAAAAUGUAUCUGAAGCUAGGAUUGCAGCAGUAAUUGUCUUUCCUGUAACAAUGAACAGAAAGGUGUGGAUAGCAAAGGCAAGGACGACCUGGGAAGGAAGCAGCAGUGAGUGGUUACAGAUCAAACACUACCCAGAAUUCCUCUCAUACUUUUCAAAAUGUAUUUUUAUUCCACCUGGUAUAUUUCAGUGAUGUUCUGGGGAAGCUUAUCUGAAUUGGAUAGGUGGGUCCCUCAACUAUGCAAUCUAUGUUUUGGAAUGGUCAUCCAUCUUUUUUAAAAUUAUUAUUUCAUCAGAGAUAAGGUGGGAAGGAGCAAAAAUCAAGCAAAGACCUUUAAAGGUCUUGAAUGUAAGACAUAAAGAUGUCAGUGGAAUUUGGCAAGUGCAAGACUUUGGCAAUAUCUAGGCAUCUAUAGGCAUAUGGGCCACAUUAUGUCAUACAUGUUCUAUUGAUGCAGAUUUCAAGAUAAAUGGGUGUCCUACCUGAGAAUGUGGCUAUACCACUGGAAGUGUAGGUGGCAUCAACUCACAUGUUUGUGCAUAUCAAGACAGAAGGUGCAGAACAUCUCUCUGCUGGCUAUCAUUUCUUAUAUCAGAGAAUCUAUGUCUUUAGUAUCUUAUGAUGCUGGUUCUGGAAGAGCUUUUAUAAAGAAAACAACACGAUCAGUAACCCUGGUCCAAGAGAUGUGAGAAAAUGAAUAGUCACAUUUUUGGUAUAGUAUAUCCAUGCAAACAAUUGUAGGUCUACAUUAUCACUUUAUAAUCAUCUCACCAAGUAAUCUGGAACAGAAUGUUUAAUUCCAUGCUCUUUUUGUCGUAAACACAAUUAAAAACCUACCUAUUUUCAC